AUACGGAGGAUGCGAGCGUUAUCCGGAUUUAUUGGGUUUAAAGGGUGCGUAGGCGGACGAUUAAGUCAGCUGUGAAAUGCCCGCGCUUAACGCGGGAAGUGCAGUUGAUACUGGUUGUCUGGAGUGCCGUUGCCGUGGGGGGAAUGUGUAGUGUAGCGGUGAAAUGCAUAGAUAUUACACAGAACGCCGAUUGUGAAGACACCUCACGAAGCGGUAACUGACGCUGAGGCACGAAAGCGUGGGGAUCAAACAGGAUUAGAUACCCUGGUAGUCCACGCAGUAAACGAUGAUGGCUAACCGCUGGCUCUUUCGGGUCAGUGGCCAAGCGAAAGCGAUAAGCCAUCCACCUGGGGAGUACGACCGCAAGGUUGAAACUCAAAGGAAUUGACGGGG
This 393-nucleotide ribosomal RNA is filed under the name uncultured bacterium. RNAcentral's name for it is "partial 16S ribosomal RNA". It matches the Rfam family "Bacterial small subunit ribosomal RNA", at positions 523 to 918 of the family's 1533-position model. The record is from RNAcentral.